GAGGAUAUGUGCAGCCCCAGAGGAGGGUUGCUGAUGGUUGGAGUUGCUGGCAAUUAGUGCUUUUGGUUGAUGGUCUCCCCUGUGUGGAGUUAUCUCAGGCGUAGACCUGUGUAAUAUACUAUUUGCAACUCGUUUCUUUAAACUUGGUAGUGGUUAUGUGCGUGUUAUGGGUGUUCUUGGGUUUUUGCCCUACGAUAGACUGCUCGAUGACGAGUGUCUAUGUAUAGGUUUCCCAGGAAUGCUCUGAACUCGCACCCCUUUUUCUGGUUUCCUUUUUGGACGAAGAACACUUGUAUUUCCGUUAUGUGAGUAAUGGAAAAG
RNAcentral lists this long non-coding RNA (321 nucleotides) under Hordeum vulgare. RNAcentral's name for it is "long non-coding RNA (HVUL_LNC005242)". Lineage: Eukaryota; Viridiplantae; Streptophyta; Magnoliopsida; Poales; Poaceae. The record is from RNAcentral.